Molecule: ribosomal RNA, 253 nt
Filed under: uncultured bacterium
Lineage: Bacteria
Description: partial 16S ribosomal RNA
Rfam family: Bacterial small subunit ribosomal RNA
Source: RNAcentral
UACAGAGGUGCCAAGCGUUAGGCGGAAUCACUGGGCUUAAAGUGCGUGUAGGUGGACGGGUAAGUAUCUUGUGAAAUCCCACGGCUCAACCGUGGAACUGCUGGAUAUACUGCUUGUCUUGAGGCACUUAGGGGCAGCUGGAACAAAUGGUGGAGCGGUGAAAUGCGUAGAUAUCAUUUGGAACGCCAAAGGCGAAAGCAGGCUGCUGGGAGUGAUCUGACACUGAGACGCGAAAGCCAGGGGAGCAAACGGG